AGAGUUUGAUCCUGGCUCAGAGUGAACGCUGGCGGCGUGGAUUAGGCAUGCAAGUCGAGCGAUCCGCUUCGGCGGAUAGCGGCAAACGGGUGAGUAACGCGUGAGUAAUUUACCUCCAUAACGGAGAUAGCCUUGCGAAAGCAGGGGUAAUAACCGAUGCGCCCCAUACCUCAUAAGGGGAAUAGGGUAAAGAUGGUCCGUAAGGACUGUUGUUUGGAGAUUAGCUCGCGUCCUAUCAGCUUGUUGGUAGGGUAAUGGCCUACCAAGGCAUUUGACGGGUAGCUGGCCUGAGAGGGUGGUCAGCCACAUUGGGACUGAGACACUGCCCAGACUCCUACGGGAGGCUGCAGUCGAGGAUCUUUAGCAAUGGGCGAAAGCCUGACUAUGCGACGCCGCGUGAGGGAUGAAGGUUUUCGGAUCGUAAACCUCUUUCGAUAGGGAAGAAAUCCUUCGUUGAAUAGACGAAGGACUGACGGUACCUAGAGAAGAAGCUACGGCCAACUCCGUGCCAGCAGCCGCGGUAAUACGGAGGUAGCAAGCGUUACUCGGAUUCAUUGGGUGUAAAGGGCAGGUAGGCGGCUAUGUAAGUUGGGGGUGAAAUCCUUUGGCUCAACCAAAGAACUGCCUUCAAAACUGCAUAGCUUGAGGCAAGGAGAGGAGAGCAGAAUUCCAGGUGUAAGAGUGAAAUCUGUAGAUAUCUGGAGGAAUGCCAGUUGCGUAGGCGGCUCUCUGGCCUUGUCCUGACGCUCAGCUGCGAAAGCUAGGGUAGCAAACAGGAUUAGAUACCCUGGUAGUCCUAGCCGUAAACUAUGAGCACUAGGUGUUGGAGGUCAAUCCUUCAGUGCCGCAAGAUAACUCGUUAAGUGCUCCACCUGGGGACUACGGCCGCAAGGCUAAAACUCAAAGGAAUUGACGGGGGCCCGCACAAGCGGUGGAACAUGUGGUUCAAUUCGACGCUACGCGAAGAACCUCACCAGGGCUUGACAUGUAGGAAGUAAGAAUCCGAAAGGUGGAUGACCUGUUAAGUCAGGAGCCUACACAGGUGCUGCAUGGCUGUCGUCAGCUCGUGUCGUGAGAUGUUGGGUUAAGUCCCGCAACGAGCGCAACCCUUAUUCUUAGUUGCUACCUAGUAUUGAUCUUGGCAACAAGGUCAAUGCGGGGCACUCUAAGAAGACUGCCUGCGAUAAGCAGGAGGAAGGUGGGGAUGACGUCAAGUCAGUAUGGCCUAUAUGUCCUGGGCUACACACGUGUUACAAUGCUCACUACAAUGCGUUGCCAAACCGCGAGGUGGAGCUAAUCGCAAAAAAGUGAGCUCAGUUCGGAUUGGAGUCUGCAAUUCGACUCCAUGAAGCCGGAAUCGCUAGUAAUGGCAGAUCAGCUACGCUGCCGUGAAUACGUUCCCGCGCCUUGUACACACCGCCCGUCAAGCGAUGGGAGUUGGGAGUACCUGAAAUUUCUCUUCUCGAGGAAUGAAGGUAAGCCCGGUAACUGGCGCUAAGUCGUAACAAGGUA
RNAcentral lists this ribosomal RNA (1512 nucleotides) under metagenome. RNAcentral's name for it is "bacterial SSU rRNA". It matches the Rfam family "Bacterial small subunit ribosomal RNA". The record is from RNAcentral.